UAUAGAUGGAUCCGCGCUGCAUUAGCUAGUUGGUAAGGUAACGGCUUACCAAGGCAACGAUGCAUAGCCGACCUGAGAGGGUGAUCGGCCACACUGGAACUGAGACACGGUCCAGACUCCUACGGGAGGCAGCAGUAGGGAAUCUUCCGCAAUGGGCGAAAGCCUGACGGAGCAACGCCGCGUGAGUGAUGAAGGUCUUCGGAUCGUAAAACUCUGUUAUUAGGGAAGAACAUAUGUGUAAGUAACUGUGCACAUCUUGACGGUACCUAAUCAGAAAGCCACGGCUAACUACGUGCCAGCAGCCGCGGUAAUACGUAGGUGGCAAGCGUUAUCCGGAAUUAUUGGGCGUAAAGCGCGCGUAGGCGGUUUUUUAAGUCUGAUGUGAAAGCCCACGGCUCAACCGUGGAGGGUCAUUGGAAACUGGAAAACUUGAGUGCAGAAGAGGAAAGUGGAAUUCCAUGUGUAGCGGUGAAAUGCGCAGAGAUAUGGAGGAACACCAGUGGCGAAGGCGACUUUCUGGUCUGUAACUGACGCUGAUGUGCGAAAGCGUGGGGAUCAAACAGGAUUAGAUACCCUGGUAGUCCACGCCGUAAACGAUGAGUGCUAAGUGUUAGGGGGUUUCCGCCCCUUAGUGCUGCAGCUAACGCAUUAAG
This 653-nucleotide ribosomal RNA is filed under the name Staphylococcus aureus. Its description in RNAcentral is "bacterial SSU rRNA". It matches the Rfam family "Bacterial small subunit ribosomal RNA", at positions 220 to 864 of the family's 1533-position model. Lineage: Bacteria; Bacillati; Bacillota; Bacilli; Caryophanales; Staphylococcaceae. The record is from RNAcentral.